This 1190-nucleotide long non-coding RNA is filed under the name Felis catus (domestic cat). RNAcentral describes it as "lncRNA (ENSFCAG00000049282.1)". Lineage: Eukaryota; Metazoa; Chordata; Mammalia; Carnivora; Felidae. The record is from RNAcentral.
GUCUAACAACCCUUUGUAUCAGGCCUAUCCAGCUUUGGAGGCUGCGUUCUGGAGAUCUUUGAACACAGCUGGACUCUCAGGUUCACCAGACAACCAGUGCCCUCUAAGUUACCGCCACCUAGGCCACUGGAAAGGAAGAGACCGCUGAUUGCCGUGACAACUAUCUAAAUUGAACCAGAAACAUGGAAGUCUUGUAUUUGAAUGUAAAGCUAUACCAGUUCACCCAUUUCACAAACCUGUUGAGCACUUUCCCAGGUGUUUUGAGGUUUACAAAGAUAAAAGACAGUGUCUCUGACCUUAACAAUCUGGCGGAUUUCAAAUUCUCUCACGAAGCCUAUCUAAUUUAAUCCUCGAGUUAAGACCAUUCUCCGUGGUGAGAGUACGGGUGAUGGGACAUAUUCCUGUCUGCUGAACCAACUGAAGCUCUGAAGGGCAACCUGAUUCACGUAGUAUCACAUCCAGUGAGGGGAAAUGCUAGAAGCACAUUCAGAGACUCCAUUUCAGUCAUCUUUAACAUGACUCUGCCCUGAUUUUGAGUCCAAGGGAUUCCUUCAGAAAAGAACUUAGAAGCGAUUUGGUCUAUCAGCCAACAUGUGGGAACAAUUGGAGUUUGGAGAACCUUUUUCUACAGUGAUACAAUAGCGGAUGUUGUCCAACUUCACACCUUGCAAGUAUGGUGCUGCCUACGCAUUGCCUGAGAGGAUAUAAUCAUCACCACGGUAUGGAAGGAGAUCAUUCUUUGGAGUGGACAGUUCGCGAUUCAAACACCAACCCCUCACAGCUCAAAUAUGACAUUAAUUUCCACGUGCCUCCAUUUUCUGAGAAGUUCUGAUGACCUACUUCGUCGAACCGGUAGAAGAGAUGAAGCCACCUCAAGGUUCUCCAACCAACCCAAGGAUGAGCUAUGGUUGGGUCAGAGAAAUGCCCCUGGACCAAUCAGAAGGUCACCUGUGUCCAAAGAGCAGCUGUUUGCUCUUAAGGGAAGGUUGGAUACUGCAUCAGACGUACCAGCUAUAAAUACAAAUAUCUAGAAAAUAGAAGUAUAGAGGAAAACAAUUAAAAAGCCUUUGUAAUUCUACCACCCAGAGAUAACUGCCAUAAAUAGUUAAGUACAUUUCAUUCAAAUUUCAGUAUACGCAUGUAUAUACUUAAUAUUGUUUACCAAUUUUGGAUACAGUGAUAUUAUCUUC